RNAcentral lists this ribosomal RNA (253 nucleotides) under uncultured bacterium. Its description in RNAcentral is "partial 16S ribosomal RNA". It matches the Rfam family "Bacterial small subunit ribosomal RNA", at positions 524 to 776 of the family's 1533-position model. The record is from RNAcentral.
UACAGAGGGUGCAAGCGUUAAUCGGAAUUACUGGGCGUAAAGGGUGCGUAGGUGGCAAAAUAAGUUGGAUGUGAAAUACCUGGGCUUAACCUGGGGACUGCAUUUGAGACUGUUUUACUAGAGUACUGUAGAGGAAGGUGGAAUUUCCGGUGUAGCGGUGAAAUGCGUAGAUAUCGGAAGGAACAUCUGUGGCGAAGGCGACUUUCUGGACAGAUACUGACACUGAGGCACGAAAGCAUGGGGAGCAAACAGG